RNAcentral lists this small RNA (125 nucleotides) under Arabidopsis thaliana (thale cress). Its description in RNAcentral is "ATSL062200". Lineage: Eukaryota; Viridiplantae; Streptophyta; Magnoliopsida; Brassicales; Brassicaceae. The record is from RNAcentral.
UUUUUUUAAUUAUCAAAAACAAACAUUAAAAUCCAGUGGCAACCAUUGUAAAUAAGUCUUAACUACAUGAUUUAUUUCACAAAAUGGCUGCAAAAAUGUAUAUAUAGAUGGUUUAAUUUGUUUUU